CACGCCCCCGCCUCCUCAGGCGCGGAGGAUCCGCGCCAGAGCGAGGGGGGGUCCCGGCCGUGUAUGGAGCCCCGGGCCCAGCCGCCCGCGCAGCCCUCGCGGACGGCCGACUUCGCCCAGGCUUCCCCGCGGUCCGGCCUUGGCAGGGGUGCGGGAGUGGGAGAGACCCGCACCCAGUGUGUGCGCAGCUCCCAGGCCUGAGCCUGCUUCCCGCGGGGUGUCUCCGGUUCCUGGUGUGGUUCCCGUUGGGUGGGCACCUGGGACCCAGGAAGUCUUAGACCUGGCUGGCGGGUGGGGGUGUGUUCGGUGGUUUGGCCUUGCCCUUCACCGACUGGUGCUGCACCUCCACAUGCCUCCUCCUGCAGGAAGCCCUCCUGGAUAGACCCUUCCCGCCACCUCUGUCCUCAGGCUGUUCGGCAGAGCUCUGGCUGUGGGGGGGCAUCCUGCCUGUCCUGUAUGGGAGUCUUUGACCUCAGGAGCCCUGGAGCUUUCCCAGCUCCUUGGAUAAGGAAGGAAGGCUGUGUGUGCCUGCCAUGACCUGUGGCAGAAGCCAGAAGUGGGGGUGAGGCUGGAAACUCCCUCCUCCAGUCUGGCUUGUGCCCCCCCCCACCCCGUGCGGAGGGCUCUCCAGGUGACAGCUCGAGACUCCAGCCCAGAUGCUUCCCUGGGGGCUGGACAGCAGCCCCGCCCCUGCCCGGAGGGGAGGAGGGCGGUCAGCUCGCUGCUAUCUCCGUGCUGUGUCAGCUUUUAGUGUCCGGGAGAAGACAGCAGCAAACAGGUGGGCCUGGCUGGCCCGAGCCAGCUCCCACACCUCCGCUCACACCCCCGCCAUACCUCCGGACGCCGCCUCCGUCUGAGGUCUGGCCGGGGGCUCCCGGCUGCAGGAGGCCAGGGAAGUUACUGAGUUUGGAAUGUGAGGCCCCCCUCCCCCGCCGGCUGCCUGCCAAGAUGGAAUUAUUUUGGAUUAUCCAGCCGUGUCCAGCCACCCGAGAGGGAAAGGCCGCAGCCUGCAGCCGUGGGAGAAGGAUCCAUUUCCGGGCGAGAGUCUUGAUGCUGGCUUGGAGCAGAGACUGACCCCGGACCACUGGAGCCUUGGCUGUCGGGGGCAAUGGCACUGCAGCUCUGGGCCCUGACCCUCCUGGGCCUGGCGGGCAUGGGGUCAAACCUGCGGCCUGGCAGACUGGACUUCUUCCACAGUGACACAGAGCUGAACCACCUGGCCGUGGACCAGGCUUCCGGCGUGGUGUACGUGGGGGCCGUGAACGCGCUCUACCAGCUGAGUGCCGACCUGCA
RNAcentral lists this long non-coding RNA (1293 nucleotides) under Oryctolagus cuniculus (rabbit). Its description in RNAcentral is "lncRNA (ENSOCUG00000037760.1)". The record is from RNAcentral. Lineage: Eukaryota; Metazoa; Chordata; Mammalia; Lagomorpha; Leporidae.